Molecule: ribosomal RNA, 939 nt
Filed under: Triticum aestivum (bread wheat)
Lineage: Eukaryota; Viridiplantae; Streptophyta; Magnoliopsida; Poales; Poaceae
Description: partial small subunit ribosomal RNA
Source: RNAcentral
AUGAGCACAUCAUAUCAUCCUGAAACAGAUGGACAGACAGAACGUGUUAAUCAACAAGUGGAAUGUUUUUUGAGGUAUUUCAUCAGUGCUCAUCCAAACAAGUGGGCAAAGUGGCUUUCACUUUGUGAGUUUUGGUACAAUACCAACUGGCAUUCAGCACUUAACAAAUCGCCGUUUGAGGUUCUUUAUGGUCAUGGUCCUCGGCAUUUUGGGAUUUCGACUUCAGACUCAAUUGAUCCUGUUGAUUUGCAGCAGUGGUUGGAUGCUCGAGCAGUGGUUCAGCAAUCAGUGCGCCAGCAUUUGUUGCGUGUUCAGCAAAGGAUGAAACAUCAGGCUGACAAGAAACGCACUGAAAGAACAUCUGCUGUGGGAGAUCGAGUAUUUCUUAAACUCCAGCCGUAUGUACAAUCAUCAGUGGUGCACAGGGCAAAUCAUAAACUUGCUUUCAAGUAUUUUGGUCCGUUUCUGAUUCCGGAGAAGAUUGGCGAAGUGGCUUAUCGCUUACAGUUGCCAGCAGCUAGUCGUAUUCAUCCUGUAUUCCAUGUUUCACAGUUGAAGCGUUGUGUGCAUCCACAACAUGAGGUACUCAAGUCGCUUCCUUCUGUUGAUGCUCAUCUUCAGUUCCCUGUUAAGAUACUGCAGGAGCGCCUUCGCCGCGCCGACAACCGAUCGUUGGCACAAGUCCUAGUUCAGUGGAGUGGAGGGGAUGCUUCUUCGGCAACCUGGGAGGAUAAGGAUUCACUUCGUCAGUUGUUUCCUCGUGCCCCGGCUUGGGGACAAGCCGGUUCUGAAGAAGGGGGGAAUGUCAGCGAUCAUGGUACUGGAACAGAGCAAGCGGGAGCGCGCGAGGCCAAGGAUUCGACUCGUGGGCCGGCUACUCGGCCCACUCGCGACCGGCAACUUCCCCAGUGGCUUGCAGGCCCGAACUGGGCCCGUUAA